Molecule: ribosomal RNA, 325 nt
Filed under: uncultured eukaryote
Lineage: Eukaryota
Description: partial 18S ribosomal RNA
Rfam family: Eukaryotic small subunit ribosomal RNA
Source: RNAcentral
CCCUUAGAUGUUCUGGGCCGCACGCGCGCUACACUGAUGCAUUCAACGAGUCUAAAACCUGCUCUGAUAGGGGUGGGUAAUCUUUUGAAUGUGCAUCGUGAUUGGGAUAGAUGAUUGCAAUUUUUCGACUCGAACCGGGAAUUCCUUGUAAUCGUGAUUCAUCACAUCACGAUGAAUACGUCCCUGCCCUUUGUACACACCGCCCGUCGCUCCUACCGAUCGAAGAGUUAGGUGAAUUGUUUUGAUCGAUAAGAUUUGACUAUGGUCAACUCUCGUUGUGAAAUUCUGUGAAUCUGACUGUUUAGAGGAAGGAAAAGUCGUAACA